Molecule: ribosomal RNA, 487 nt
Filed under: uncultured bacterium
Lineage: Bacteria
Description: bacterial SSU rRNA
Rfam family: Bacterial small subunit ribosomal RNA
Source: RNAcentral
CUACGUGCCAGCAGCCGCGGUAAUACGUAGGUGGCAAGCGUUGUCCGGAAUUAUUGGGCGUAAAGCGCGCGCAGGCGGAUUGGUCAGUCUGUCUUAAAAGUUCGGGGCUUAACCCCGUGAUGGGAUGGAAACUGCCAAUCUAGAGUAUCGGAGAGGAAAGUGGAAUUCCCAGUGUAGCGGUGAAAUGCGUAGAUAUUAGGAAGAACACCAGUGGCGAAGGCGACUUUCUGGACGAAAACUGACGCUGAGGCGCGAAAGCCAGGGGAGCGAACGGGAUUAGAUACCCCGGUAGUCCUGGCCGUAAACGAUGGGUACUAGGUGUAGGAGGUAUCGACCCCUUCUGUGCCGGAGUUAACGCAAUAAGUACCCCGCCUGGGGAGUACGACCGCAAGGUUGAAACUCAAAGGAAUUGACGGGGGCCCGCACAAGCGGUGGAGUAUGUGGUUUAAUUCGACGCAACGCGAAGAACCUUACCAGGUCUUGACAU